Molecule: ribosomal RNA, 493 nt
Filed under: uncultured bacterium
Lineage: Bacteria
Description: bacterial SSU rRNA
Rfam family: Bacterial small subunit ribosomal RNA
Source: RNAcentral
CUGGCUCAGGAUGAACGCUGGCGGCGUGCUUAACACAUGCAAGUCGAACGAAGCAUUCCAACUCUCGGAGGAAGAAAUGACUGAGUGGCGGACGGGUGAGUAACGCGUGGGUAACCUGCCUUAUACAGGGGGAUAACAGUUAGAAAUGACUGCUAAUACCGGACAUAACCCGCUAGUACCGCAUGGUACAGACGGAAAAGAUUUAUCGGUAUAAGAUGGACCCGCGUCUGAUUAGCUAGUUGGUGAGGUAAAUGGCUCACCAAGGCGACGAUCAGUAGCCGGCUUGAGAGAGUGAACGGCCACAUUGGGACUGAGACACGGCCCAAACUCCUACGGGAGGCAGCAGUGGGGAAUAUUGCACAAUGGGGGAAACCCUGAAUGCAGCAACGCCGCGUGAAGGAAGAAGUAUUUCGGUAUGUAAACUUCUAUCAGCAGGAAAGAAAAUGACGGUACCUGACUAAGAAGCCCCGGCUAACUACGUGCCAGCCGCCGC